AGAGUUUGAUCCUGGCUCAGGACGAACGCUGGCGGCGUGCCUAAUACAUGCAAGUCGAGCGAACCAAUAAGAAGCUUGCUUUUUGUUGGUUAGCGGCGGACGGGUGAGUAACACGUGGGUAACCUGCCUGUAAGACCGGGAUAACUCCGGGAAACCGGUGCUAAUACCGGAUAGAUUAUCUUUCCGCCUGGAGAGAUAAGGAAAGAUGGCUUUUGCCAUCACUUACAGAUGGGCCCGCGGCGCAUUAGCUAGUUGGUGAGGUAAUGGCUCACCAAGGCGACGAUGCGUAGCCGACCUAAGAGGGUGAUCGGCCACACUGGGACUGAGACACGGCCCAGACUCCUACGGGAGGCAGCAGUAGGGAAUCUUCCGCAAUGGACGAAAGUCUGACGGAGCAACGCCGCGUGAGCGAAGAAGGUCUUCGGAUCGUAAAGCUCUGUUGUUAGGGAAGAACAAGUAUCGGAGGAAAUGCCGGUACCUUGACGGUACCUGACGAGAAAGCCACGGCUAACUACGUGCCAGCAGCCGCGGUAAUACGUAGGUGGCAAGCGUUGUCCGGAUUUAUUGGGCGUAAAAGCGCGCGCAGGCGGUCCUUUAAGUCUGAUGUGAAAUCUUGCGGCUCAACCGCAAGCGGUCAUUGGAAACUGGGGGACUUGAGUGCAGAAGAGGAAAGCGGAAUUCCACGUGUAGCGGUGAAAAUGCGUAGAGAUGUGGAGGAACACCAGUGGCGAAGGCGGCUUUCUGGUCUGUAACUGACGCUGAGGCGCGAAAGCGUGGGGAG
RNAcentral lists this ribosomal RNA (781 nucleotides) under bacterium enrichment culture. Its description in RNAcentral is "bacterial SSU rRNA". It matches the Rfam family "Bacterial small subunit ribosomal RNA", at positions 8 to 768 of the family's 1533-position model. The record is from RNAcentral.